RNAcentral lists this ribosomal RNA (253 nucleotides) under uncultured bacterium. RNAcentral describes it as "partial 16S ribosomal RNA". It matches the Rfam family "Bacterial small subunit ribosomal RNA", at positions 524 to 776 of the family's 1533-position model. The record is from RNAcentral.
GACGGACCAUCCAAACGUUAUUCGGAAUUACUGGGCUUAAAGGGUGCGUAGGCGGCGCGGAAAGUUGGGUGUGAAAUCCCUCGGCUUAACCGAGGAAUGGCGCUCAAAACUACCGUGCUUGAGGAAGACAGAGGUGAGCGGAACUUAGGGUGGAGCGGUGAAAUGCGUUGAUAUCAUCAGGAACACCGGUGGCGAAAGCGGCUUACUGGGUCUCUUCUGACGCUGAGGAACGAAAGCUAGGGUAGCGAACGGG